RNAcentral lists this transfer-messenger RNA (392 nucleotides) under Thermocoleostomius sinensis A174. It matches the Rfam family "transfer-messenger RNA". From Rfam's summary of the family: Bacterial tmRNA, also known as 10Sa RNA or SsrA, is named for its dual tRNA and mRNA-like properties. Its role is to liberate the mRNA from a stalled ribosome. To accomplish this part of the tmRNA is used as a reading frame that ends in a translation stop signal. The record is from Rfam by way of RNAcentral. Lineage: Bacteria; Bacillati; Cyanobacteriota; Cyanophyceae; Oculatellales; Oculatellaceae. RNAcentral also lists the same sequence under 1 other name.
GGGGCUGUAACGGUUUCGACGUUUUGGUGAACGCUAUUUCGUGAUACAGGCCGAGAGCGAGCUAACUCUCGAAAAUCAAUGGCUCAAAACAACGUACAUGCGAACAACAUCGUACCUUUUGCUCGUAAGCAAGCUGCUGUUGCAGUUGCCUAAAAACCUCUAAUUGGUUCGAGCGUCUGUAGUUUGACUCCGUUAAGGACUAUGGACCAACCCCCAACGGAUGCGCUAGUUGAUUGCCUCUGGUCGAUCGCUAGCUAAGACUUCACCAGAGCAUCCCACCGUUCGGGAUAAGGAACGGUUCCCGCUUCGAGGAUGAGAGAAGCUAAGCCUGUGAAUGAGCGGAGUACUAAUAACCAGAGCGGACACGGGUUCGACUCCCGUCAGCUCCAUUU